Molecule: ribosomal RNA, 219 nt
Filed under: uncultured bacterium
Lineage: Bacteria
Description: partial 16S ribosomal RNA
Rfam family: Bacterial small subunit ribosomal RNA
Source: RNAcentral
UACGUAGGGGGCGAGCGUUGUCCGGAGUUACUGGGCGUAAAGCGCACGCAGGCGGUCUGUUAAGUUUGGAGUGACAGUUGGUGGCUUAACUGCCAAAGUGCUUCGAAAACUGACAGACUUGAGGGCUUCAGAGGGACACGGAAUCCGGGUGGAGUGGUGAAUGCGUAGAAGAUCCGGAGGAACACCAAAGGCGAAAGGCAGUGUCCUGGGGAGUACCUG